UGGGGAAUAUUGGACAAUGGGCGAAAGCCUGAUCCAGCCAUGCCGCGUGUGUGAAGAAGGUCUUCGGAUUGUAAAGCACUUUAAGUUGGGAGGAAGGGCAGUAAGCGAAUACCUUGCUGUUUUGACGUUACCGACAGAAUAAGCACCGGCUAACUCUGUGCCAGCAGCCGCGGUAAUACAGAGGGUGCAAGCGUUAAUCGGAAUUACUGGGCGUAAAGCGCGCGUAGGUGGUUCGUUAAGUUGAAUGUGAAAGCCCCGGGCUCAACCUGGGAACUGCAUCCAAAACUGGCGAACUAGAGUAGCGCAGAGGGUGGUGGAAUUACCAAUGUUGCGGUGAAAUGCGUAGAUAUAGGAGGGAACACCAGUGGCGAAGGCGGCCGCCUGGGCUCAUACUAACACUAAGGUGCGAAAGCGUGGGGAGCAAACAGG
RNAcentral lists this ribosomal RNA (429 nucleotides) under Pseudomonadota bacterium. Its description in RNAcentral is "Proteobacteria bacterium partial 16S ribosomal RNA". It matches the Rfam family "Bacterial small subunit ribosomal RNA", at positions 355 to 776 of the family's 1533-position model. Lineage: Bacteria; Pseudomonadati; Pseudomonadota. The record is from RNAcentral.